This 900-nucleotide long non-coding RNA is filed under the name Homo sapiens (human). Its description in RNAcentral is "long intergenic non-protein coding RNA 2028". The record is from RNAcentral. Lineage: Eukaryota; Metazoa; Chordata; Mammalia; Primates; Hominidae.
GGGGAAACCCGAGCUCCCAACAAAACGGUUCCAUCUUUGGCUAGGCCUUUGGUAUUUCAAGGCGCUGCCGGUGGGGAGAGAUGCCGCGUGCCUGAGAGGCUCUGGGAGAUGUUAUGUGGUCAACAGGGACUGAGGCUCUUUAAGCCCUUAAAUCUCUAAGGGCUAAAUCUCCUUCCUGAUAUUCGCCCCCAAACCGGCACCAAAGAAGGCCCAGAGAGGUUUAACAACUUCCUCAGAAUCACACAGCUUCCAAAUGGUUGGGUUGGGUUUACAUUUAGGCGGUCUUGCUCCAGAGCCAGUGCUCCUAACCUUUGCAAGCCACGAACCUCAAGAAAGUGGAGAAGGAAACGCUGGGAAAUCUGGAAGUCAGACAUGGCAAGUUUUUCUCACUGUAAGAAGAGGACAAUAGCCUAUGAUCUACAGUGCCCAUUCCAACUCAGAGAAUCUUUACAUCUGGAGAUCUAUAGCAGGGCUAUCCCUAGUGACAUGCGUGAAGAAGCUUGGAAAUGGUGCUGGGUAGGAGCUGAGUGUGCAGAAUGUGGAAAGGCAUUCUAAACCAAAGGAAGAACACGAGUAAAGAUGAUGAAGCAGGGAUAAGGCUAAAAUGAAAUUUGUGAUCUGAUCCACAUACAAGCACAGUGUAGUACAGCUGGAAUAUAGAGAAGAGCUUGAAGACUUAUGAGCAACUAUCCCGGUACUCUUGGAGGCUCUGCAACCACAGUUUGAGAAACUCCGCGUUCAAAGUUAAAAACUGUCACCUGAAUAGUUAAUAACAUCAAAGAUUGUGAAAGCAAGUAUAAAUAACACAGAGAUUAAAAUAAUGAGGCAGGAUCAGAAAGUGAGUGUUAUAUUUAUCUAUUUUUUCCUGUAUCACUGAAACAAAAACAUAACAUUUCAAAA